GUUCCUGUAGCUUAUACAAAGCAUGGCACUGAAGAUGCCAAGAUGGUCGCUAAACACACCCAAGAACA
This 68-nucleotide transfer RNA is filed under the name Leiothrix argentauris (silver-eared mesia). Its description in RNAcentral is "tRNA-Phe". Lineage: Eukaryota; Metazoa; Chordata; Aves; Passeriformes; Leiothrichidae. The record is from RNAcentral.